GGAAUAUUGGACAAUGGGCGCAAGCCUGAUCCAGCAAUGCCGCGUGUGUGAAGAAGGCCUUCGGGUUGUAAAGCACUUUAGUUGGGGAGGAAAAGAUUAAGGUUAAUACCCUUGAUCCUUGACGUUACCCAAAGAAUAAGUACCGGCUAACUCUGUGCCAGCAGCCGCGGUAAUACAGAGGGUACGAGCGUUAUUCGGAAUUACUGGGCGUAAAGCGCUCGCAGGCGGUUAACCAAGUCGGAUGUGAAAGCCCCGGGCUCAACCUGGGAUGGUCAUUCGAAACUGGUUAACUAGAGUAUGGUAGAGGAAAGUGGAAUUUCCGGUGUAGCAGUGAAAUGCGUAGAGAUCGGAAGGAACAUCAGUGGCGAAGGCGACUUUCUGGACCAAUACUGACGCUCAUGAGCGAAAGCGUGGGGAGCA
This 420-nucleotide ribosomal RNA is filed under the name uncultured bacterium. RNAcentral's name for it is "bacterial SSU rRNA". It matches the Rfam family "Bacterial small subunit ribosomal RNA", at positions 358 to 770 of the family's 1533-position model. The record is from RNAcentral.